Non-coding RNA from Microcebus murinus (gray mouse lemur), 1099 nucleotides. Lineage: Eukaryota; Metazoa; Chordata; Mammalia; Primates; Cheirogaleidae. The record is from RefSeq and is a predicted model, not a curated record.
UUGGUCUUCAUUUCUUUAUUUUUUUGGAUUAUUCUUUUUCAUCGUGAGCUCCCAGCUUAGGAACCACUUCUUCCAGGGUGAUUUCCCUGAUUGCCACAGACUGAGUCGGCUAGGUGUACUCUUGUGAAUGUCAUUAACAACCUACACUUCUCUGCUGUGCUAUUUUCCACAUUGCAGCAGUUCUCGAAUUUAGACCUUUACACCACAUCUGGGGAGUGUUGAGGUACAGUGUCUCAGAGCCUCCAAUUGUCAUCACACAUCUUCUCUAUGAUAGGUUGCUGAAAGAGCGGUUGGGAUUCUCAGAAGACAAAAACAAAAACUUCCACUUCUUUCUGUUCCUUCCUUGCUAGGUACCAUGCUGGCUGCCUUUUUAUCCUGCCAGAAACUCUGCAAGGCUCACCCUAUUGGUGGCACCAGGGUGCAGACCUGCUGAAGAAGACUGGAUCCCACCAAGUGAGAACCUCCCCUAGGGGCCCUUCGGUUGAGAGGACAACUAUUUCCCUUUCAAACUACUGGGACCGAAGUGAAGCCAUGUGAUAGCAAGGACCUAAGUCAUGGGACCAAGCCUGGCAGCAGAUCCCACCAUUUGAGUCUUGAGAUGAAUGCAGCCCCAGCUGACACCUUGAUUCCAGCUUUAUGAGAGACACUGAUCCAGAAGCAUCCAGCAAAGACACUUCUGGACAGACACUGAAAUGAGAGUAUUCUCCUGCUUGGACCAGAAGAUUGCUUAGGUACCUGGACUUUCAGUCUCGAAAUGCAAUCCGAAAAAUAAUAUUUUUGUGCAGUGGCAAAAAUAGCACUUCAACAUGCUUCCUCUGUUUCUUUGGUGUCUCCUAAACAACAAACAACUGUUCCAAGUGCUGCUUCUUGAGUAAUUGUUUUUUGUCAAUGUUUUGUCAACUUGUCAAUUGCUCACACACAGUUUAUGAGCACUCUGAUGGCGCAGCUGUCUACGGUCUAACGGAGAAACACAUCCCUUUGGAACGCCAUUAAGUACGUUUGAAUAAGCUCUGUUUGUACCUAGAAAGGCUGAGAGAGCACAUGCGGGAUGUGUCACCGCCAUUUUGGCAAAUUCUGAUUUUGACAGAAUUUUUUUGAA